Molecule: long non-coding RNA, 93 nt
Organism: Fundulus heteroclitus (mummichog)
Lineage: Eukaryota; Metazoa; Chordata; Actinopteri; Cyprinodontiformes; Fundulidae
Exons: 3
Source: RefSeq, a predicted model, not a curated record
UGGGCCUGUUUAAAUGCAGUGGUGGAGAAAGUACUCAUACAAUGUACUUAAGUAAAAGUACAAAUACACAGACAAAAAUUUACUCAAGUAAAA